This 272-nucleotide ribosomal RNA is filed under the name uncultured Eubacteriales bacterium. RNAcentral describes it as "uncultured Clostridiales bacterium partial 16S ribosomal RNA". It matches the Rfam family "Bacterial small subunit ribosomal RNA", at positions 75 to 339 of the family's 1533-position model. Lineage: Bacteria; Bacillati; Bacillota; Clostridia; Eubacteriales. The record is from RNAcentral.
UUUCUUCGGAAUGAAUUUGAUUAGUUUAGUGGCGGACGGGUGAGUAACGCGUGAGUAACCUGCCUUCAAGAGGGGGAUAACAUUCUGAAAAGAAUGCUAAUACCGCAUAAGCGCACAGCAUCGCAUGAUGCAGUGUGAAAAACUCCGGUGGUAUGGGAUGGGCCCGCGUCUGAUUAGGCAGUUGGCGGGGUAACGGCCCACCAAGGCGACGAUCAGUAGCCGGACUGAGAGGUCGAACGGCCACAUUGGAACUGAGAUACGGUCCAGACUCC